CCCUUAGAUGUCCUGGGCCGCACGCGUGCUACACUGACGCCUACAGCGAGUACUUCCCAGCCCCGAGAGGCGGCUGGUAAUCAGCAAUAGGCGUCGUGAUGGGGAUAGAUCUUUGGAAUUCUGGAUCUUGAACGAGGAAUGCCUAGUAAGCGCAGGUCAUUAGCCUGCGCUGAUUACGUCCCUGCCCUUUGUACACACCGCCCGUCGCUCCUACCGAUUUCGAGUGGUCCGGUGAAUCUUUCGGACUGCGCGCAGCUUCGUGCCGUGUCGCGGAAAGUCAGGUAAACCUAAUCACUUAGAGGAAGGACAAGUCGUAACG
Molecule: ribosomal RNA, 319 nt
Filed under: uncultured eukaryote
Lineage: Eukaryota
Description: partial 18S ribosomal RNA
Rfam family: Eukaryotic small subunit ribosomal RNA
Source: RNAcentral